UCCGGGUGAAUUUAAUUUUCGUCAUCUAAAUGGUCCCAUGGAAUUGUGUCUUGACCAACAAACUAUCGUGGAGCCAUACACUGUUCCAAUUCAGAUGGCGCCAUUCCCAAAACAAAUACUAUUGAACCUUGCUGAUAUUGCCGAGUUGCCAAACAGGACUUUAGUCGACAUUAUGGCUGUUGUAGUCCACUUGGAUACAAUACAUCGCACAAUGUGGGGCCCUUUCAGAAAGAUUGUGAUAAUGGAUGCUAGGGGAUAUUUACAUAUCAUUAAAGUUUGGGGUGACCUACUAAACAAAAAUGCACUCCGCUGGGCGUUGGCUAAGGAGGAUUAUGGCAUAAUAAUUGGGACUAUGUUUAGACGGUUCAGAAGACAAGAGUGCCUCGAGUCUUCGGAUCAUACCGCAAUACACUUCAAUCCGUUCCAUCACAACACCCAUCAUUUUCGACCAAUCCAAAAAGCUUUGGUGGCGCUGAACAACCGUCAGUUUGCUGUUACAUUUCUUGAAGAAGAAAGGCGUAGAUAGAUUCUACAAAUUCGCAAAGAGCAAUAAUUGGGACUAUGUUUAGGCGUAGAGAGAUUUGAUAGAAUACGUGUCGUACUGUUAUUGAGCAACCAAACGCAACAAGAGGCAAACUUGUAUGUCUAUGAAUCUUGUUUGUAAUACCUAUGACAUGGGUUUAAUAAGAGAUAUUUUGUGAA
This 702-nucleotide unclassified non-coding RNA is filed under the name Zea mays. RNAcentral describes it as "misc RNA Zm00001eb118000". Lineage: Eukaryota; Viridiplantae; Streptophyta; Magnoliopsida; Poales; Poaceae. The record is from RNAcentral.